This 382-nucleotide ribosomal RNA is filed under the name uncultured bacterium. Its description in RNAcentral is "bacterial SSU rRNA". It matches the Rfam family "Bacterial small subunit ribosomal RNA", at positions 29 to 423 of the family's 1533-position model. The record is from RNAcentral.
AACGAACGCUGGCGGCACGCCUAACACAUGCAAGUCGAACGAAGCAUAAGAGCUUGCUCUUAUGACUGAGUGGCAAACGGGUGAGUAACGCGUGGGAAUCUGCCUGUUGGUGGGGGAUAACUGUUGGAAACGACAGCUAAUACCGCAUAAGCCCGAGAGGGGAAAGAUUUAUUGCCAACAGAGGAGCCCGCGUUAGAUUAGGUAGUUGGUGGGGUAAAAGACCUACCAAGCCGAUGAUCUAUAGCUGGUCUGAGAGGAUGGACAGCCACACUGGGACUGAGACACGGCCCAGACUCCUACGGGAGGCAGCAGUGGGGGAAUAUUGGACAAUGGGGGAAACCCUGAUCCAGCGAUGCCGCGUGAGUGAAGAAGGGCCUCGGUU